Molecule: unclassified non-coding RNA, 305 nt
Filed under: plant metagenome
Description: partial contains 5.8S ribosomal RNA, internal transcribed spacer 2, and large subunit ribosomal RNA
Rfam family: 5.8S ribosomal RNA (bases 1-105)
Source: RNAcentral
GAAAUGCGAUAAGUAAUGUGAAUUGCAGAAUUCAGUGAAUCAUCGAAUCUUUGAACGCACAUUGCGCCCGCCAGUAUUCUGGCGGGCAUGCCUGUUCGAGCGUCAUUUCAACCAUCAAGCCCCCGGCUUGUGUUGGGGACCUGCGGCUGCCCGCAGGCCCUGGAAAACAGUGGCGGGCUCGCUGUCACACCGAGCGUAGUAGCAUACAUUCUCGCUCAGGGCGUGCUGCGGGUUCCGGCCGUUAAACGACCUUCAUAACCCAAGGUUGACCUCGGAUCAGGUAGGAAGACCCGCUGAACUUAAGC